CACUCCUACGGGAGGCAGCAGUGGGGAAUAUUGCACAAUGGGCGCAAGCCUGAUGCAGCCAUGCCGCGUGUAUGAAGAAGGCCUUCGGGUUGUAAAGUACUUUCAGCGGGGAGGAAGGCAAUACGGUUAAUAACCGUGUUGAUUGACGUUACCCGCAGAAGAAGCACCGGCUAACUCCGUGCCAGCAGCCGCGGUAAUACGGAGGGUGCAAGCGUUAAUCGGAAUUACUGGGCGUAAAGCGCACGCAGGCGGUCUGUCAAGUCGGAUGUGAAAUCCCCGGGCUCAACCUGGGAACUGCAUUCGAAACUGGCAGGCUUGAGUCUUGUAGAGGGGGGUAGAAUUCCAGGUGUAGCGGUGAAAUGCGUAGAGAUCUGGAGGAAUACCGGUGGCGAAGGCGGCCCCCUGGACAAAGACUGACGCUCAGGUGCGAAAGCGUGGGGAGCAAACAGGAUUAGAAACCCCUGUAGUCC
Molecule: ribosomal RNA, 470 nt
Filed under: uncultured organism
Description: partial 16S ribosomal RNA
Rfam family: Bacterial small subunit ribosomal RNA
Source: RNAcentral